Molecule: ribosomal RNA, 1289 nt
Filed under: uncultured bacterium
Lineage: Bacteria
Description: bacterial SSU rRNA
Rfam family: Bacterial small subunit ribosomal RNA
Source: RNAcentral
AAUGAACGUUGGCGGCGUGGAUUAGGCAUGCAAGUCGUGCGGAAAGGCCCCGCAAGGGGUACUCGAGCGGCGUAAGGGAGAGUAACACGUGGGUAACCUACCCCUAGGACCGGGAUAGCCGCGGGAAACUGCGGGUAAUACCGGAUAAUGUCCCUGGACCAAAGGUGUAAUUCCUUCUAGGGAGGGGCCCGCGUCCUACUAGCUAGUUGGUGAGGUAACGGCCCACCAAGGCUAAGAUGGGUAUCAGGCGUGAGAGCGUGACCUGACUCACUGGGACUGAGACACUGCCCAGACACCUACGGGUGGCUGCAGUCGAGGAUCUUCGGCAAUGGGCGCAAGCCUGACCGAGCGACGCCGCGUGCGGGAUGAAGGCCUUCGGGUUGUAAACCGCUGUCAGAGGGGAUGAAGUAUUGGGGAGUUCUCUCUUCAAUUUGACAUAUCCUCAGAGGAAGUACGGGCUAAGUUCGUGCCAGCAGCCGCGGUAAGACGAMCCGUACAAACGUUAUUCGGAAUCACUGGGCUUAAARGGUGCGUAGGCGGUUCGAUAAGUUGGGUGUGAAAUACCUCGGCUCAACCGAGGAAUUGCGCCCAAAACUGCCGGACUKRRGGAAGAUAGARGUGAGCGGAACUUAGGGUGGAGCGGUGAAAUGCGUUGAUAUCCUAAGGGAACACCAGGGGCGAAAGCGGCUCACUGGAUCYUUUCUGACGCUGAGGCACGAAAGCUAGGGGAGCGAARRRGAUUAGAUACCCUCGUAGUCCUAGCCGUAAACGAUGAGCACUGGAUCGAAGGGUCCUCCAUAGCCUUUUGGUCGUARCGAAAGUGUUAAGUGCUCCGCCUGGGGAGWAUGGUCGCAAGGCUGAAACUCAAAAGAAUUGACGGGGGCUCACACAAGCGGUGGAGGAUGUGGCUCAAUUCGAGGCUACGCGAAAAACCUUAUCCUAGUCUUGACAUGCACGGAUUAACCUCGUGAAAGCGAGGCCAGGCCUUCGGGUACAACGUGCACAGGUGCUGCAUGGCUGUCAUCAGCUCGUGUCGUGAGAUGUCGGGUUAAGUCCCUUAACGAGCGAAACCCUUGUCGCUAGUUGCCAGCGAGUCAUGUCGGGGACUCUAGCGAGACUGCCGGUGUUAAACCGGAGGAAGGCGGGGAUGACGUCAAGUCCUCAUGGCCUUUAUGACUAGGGCUGCACACGUCCUACAAUGGCGCGCACAAAGGGACGCAAACCUGUGAAGGCGAGCAAAUCCCAAAAAACGCGCCCCAGUUCGGAUUGCAGGCUGCAACCCGCCUGCA